RNAcentral lists this ribosomal RNA (433 nucleotides) under uncultured bacterium. Its description in RNAcentral is "partial 16S ribosomal RNA". It matches the Rfam family "Bacterial small subunit ribosomal RNA", at positions 29 to 507 of the family's 1533-position model. The record is from RNAcentral.
AACGAACGCUGGCGGCAUGCCUAACACAUGCAAGUCGAACGAGAUCUUCGGAUCUAGUGGCGCACGGGUGCGUAACGCGUGGGAAUCUGCCCCUUGCUUCGGAAUAACAGUGAGAAAUUACUGCUAAUACCGGAUGAUGUCUUCGGACCAAAGAUUUAUCGGCAAGGGAUGAGCCCGCGUAGGAUUAGGUAGUUGGUGGGGUAAUGGCCUACCAAGCCGACGAUCCUUAGCUGGUCUGAGAGGAUGAUCAGCCACACUGGGACUGAGACACGGCCCAGACUCCUACGGGAGGCAGCAGUGGGGAAUAUUGGACAAUGGGCGAAAGCAUGAUCCAGCAAUGCCGCGUGAGUGAUGAAGGCCUUAGGGUUGUAAAGCUCUUUUACCAGGGAUGAUAAUGACAGUACCUGGAGAAUAAGCUCCGGCUAACUCCGUG